ACUCCUACGGGAGGCAGCAGUGGGGAAUAUUGCACAAUGGGCGCAAGCCUGAUGCAGCAACGCCGCGUGAGCGAUGAAGGCCUUCGGUCGUAAAGCUCUGUCCUCAAGGAAGAAUAAAUAGACGGUACUUGAGGAGGAAGCCCGGCUAACUACGUGCCAGCAGCCGCGGUAAUACGUAGGGGGCAAGCGUUAUCCGGAAUCACUGGGGCGUAAAGGGUGCGUAGGCGGUUUUCAAGUUCAGAAGUGAAAGGCUAUGGCUCAACCAUAGUAAGCUUUUGAAACUGUUAAACUUGAGUGCAGGAGAGGAAAGUGGAAUUCCUAGUGUAGAGGUGAAAUUCGUAGAUAUUAGGAGGAACACCAGUGGCGAAGGCGACUUUCUGGACUGUAACUGACGCUGAGGCACGAAAGCGUGGGAGCGAACAGGAUUAGAUACCCUGGUAGCACAGAG
This 448-nucleotide ribosomal RNA is filed under the name uncultured bacterium. RNAcentral describes it as "bacterial SSU rRNA". It matches the Rfam family "Bacterial small subunit ribosomal RNA", at positions 335 to 799 of the family's 1533-position model. The record is from RNAcentral.